Molecule: ribosomal RNA, 253 nt
Filed under: uncultured bacterium
Lineage: Bacteria
Description: partial 16S ribosomal RNA
Rfam family: Bacterial small subunit ribosomal RNA
Source: RNAcentral
UACGAAGGGGGCUAGCGUUGCUCGGAAUCACUGGGCGUAAAGCGCACGUAGGCGGCUUUCUAAGUCAGGGGUGAAAUCCUGGAGCUCAACUCCAGAACUGCCUUUGAUACUGGGGAGCUCGAGUCCGGAAGAGGUGAGUGGAACUCCGAGUGUAGAGGUGAAAUUCGUAGAUAUUCGGAAGAACACCAGUGGCGAAGGCGGCUCACUGGUCCGGUACUGACGCUGAGGUGCGACAGCGUGGGGAGCAAACAGG